AUAGUGGCGCACGGGUGCGUAACACGUAUGCAACCUACCUUAUACUGGGGGAUAGCCUUUGGAAACGGAGAUUAAUACCCCAUAGUACAUUUGAUUGGCAUCAAUUAAAUGUUAAAGAUUUAUCGGUAUAAGCUGGGCAUGCGUCCAAUCAGUUAGUUGGUGAGGUAAUGGCUCACCAAGACUUUGAUUGGUAGGGGAACUGAGAGGUUAAUCCCCCACACUGGCACUGAGAUACGGGCCAGACUCCUACGGGAGGCAGCAGUAGGGAAUAUUGGGCAAUGGAGGCAACUCUGACCCAGCCAUGCCGCGUGCAGGAAGAAGGCGUUAUGCGUUGUAAACUGCUUUUAUAUAGGAAGAAAUAGUCCUUGCGAGGAAAGUUGACGGUACUAUAUGAAUAAGCACCGGCUAACUCCGUGCCAGCAGCCGCGGUAAUACGGAGGGUGCAAGCGUUGUCCGGAUUUAUUGGGUUUAAAGGGUGCGUAGGCGGUUUAUUAAGUCAGUGGUGAAAGACGGUCGCUCAACGAUUGCAGUGCCAUCGAUACUGGUAGACUUGAGUGGGAUUGAGGUAGCUGGAAUGGAUGGUGUAGCGGUGAAAUGCAUAGAUAUUAUCCAGAACACCAACUGCGUAGGCAAGUUACUAAGUCUCAACUGACGCUGAG
This 659-nucleotide ribosomal RNA is filed under the name uncultured bacterium. RNAcentral describes it as "bacterial SSU rRNA". It matches the Rfam family "Bacterial small subunit ribosomal RNA", at positions 92 to 750 of the family's 1533-position model. The record is from RNAcentral.